This is a long non-coding RNA of Felis catus (domestic cat), 2264 nucleotides long. RefSeq lists it as uncharacterized. NCBI's taxonomy places the organism in Eukaryota, Metazoa, Chordata, Mammalia, Carnivora, Felidae. The record is from RefSeq and is a predicted model, not a curated record. The transcript is spliced from 2 exons.
GAACCUGGGGGGGGAGACAACGCACGCCUUACUCUGCUUCCACCGCCUCUUUCUACCUCAAACUACGCCGUUCGGAACACGUGCUGGCCGACGAACGCUGCAGCUCAGAAAGGAUACUCCAGCGGCCCGUUAGCAGCUGCGGGCCUCUGCCUCCCCGCAGGUGCUGUUUCGUUUACGUAACUGAGCAAACGAGACCCAGGUCUCGUGGUUCGGUGGUUUAAACGAGAGGAUGCAUUACGUCGCUCACACUGUUUUCUGGAAUGUCCUCAGUGACCAGCACCCACCAUACACGGGAGUAACGAGGCACCGUGGGAGACACACGCGUGAACGAAUCCGUCCAAACAACUGGUUUUCUGUGCUGGAGAGGAGGGAGAGAACCUCGCAGAACACAAGGACCUAGGAGCCGGGCCCGAGGUCAAACCCGAGCCCUACCACCAGGCAGCUGUGUGGCUCGGGGAAAGCCACGUACCCUCUCUGAUGCCCGUUUGUUUUCACUUUUAAGACGGGAACGGCCUACGUCCCGCAGGCUUGCUGCAAAGACUAAAGUGGCACACGAGGCGCCUGGGACCCAGGCCACGAAGAGGAAGACGCUGUUCCCACCGCCCAUCUCAGAGGUCACGAUGAUGUUUCACAAACGCCAGCUGUGGUCAUUCCGUAAGACCCCGAGCAAGUUCACAGCGAUGAGAGCAGAAGGCGCAGACCCCUCCCCGGCAGGGCCGGCUGCGGCAGAGGGUGAGGGGGCUCGGGGCGCAGGAGGGAGGUGAACGUCUCCAACCGAGGGAACCCAAGAGGUUCUGCACAGGAGGCGCCUUCAAGGUCGGCUGGCACACGCUGGCGGGGACGGCACAGGAGCGGCCCCCCCACCCCCCUGCACACGCUCCGAGGGGCCCUGGCCUCAAGUGUCAAUUCUGUUCUUCCCGCCAACCGUGGGCCUCAGGGGGAUGAGCUGCUUCUACUCUGGACCAGGAAGGUCCAGGCCGUCCUGCUCACGCCUAGUCAGGUGCUAUCCACCCUGUUUGUCAAGGCAGCCUGGGGACCUCUGGAACGCUCCGGCGCAGCUCCCGGAAUCCCCCCCCCCCCUGGGGUCCCUUCUCCCACAGGACCGGACACGGGCCCUGUAUCUUCUGCCUUCCCUGCCAACAUCUCCCAGGAGGCACGUGUUGGGAUAGGGUGGAUGCCGAGCUGGAAUUAGCUUGGACGGAUGUGGAGACACAUCCGGGCACCAAGCUCCCGAGCUCUGGGUUCAAGGCCGACCACUGGUCACCUUCACAGGGAGGUAAGGCAGGUGCCCGGGAGCCGAGCACAGUCUCCCCGUACCCGCUCCCUCGCCUCUCCUCCACUACUCCCCGCGUCUGAUGGCAGCCAGCCGGGCCUGGGAUCCACAGGUCACCCGAGACCCCGCCGUUCCCUCCACGUCCAGAUGGUGGCUGUGAACCCUGUGUUUAACCCUCCUUCCAAAGGGGCCCCCGCCCAGCCCCGCUCCAGGGCCCCCUGCAGUCUGCCUUUCACACUGCACACGGUGACCCCCAGACAAAACUGUUGUCUCCAGCUCACAGACUCUCCCCGGCCAAGCCUCUGGAAGGGCCGAGUGCUGACCUAGACCCAAGCUCCCCGCACGGCCCUUGAGGCCUCGAGCCCAAGCCGAGCCCCUCGUCCCUCCCGUCCCGGCUCAGCACCGCUGGCCGGGCAUCCGCUUCCCUGGCCCGCCUUCCACGCUCUGGCCGGAUAGAAACCACAUCACCGUUUUCACCAGAGAACCGGACAAGCUAUCGUACGGGACAAACGGGUGACCCUAAGGCAUCCUGAGACCACAGAGAGGGAAAUCACGAGGCGGCCUACCUGCUGAAACUGCCCCUCCGAGACGCCGUCGCGGUAGAAGAUGAUGCGGGUCGGCUUGAAGCGCGUGGACUUGUAGAACUGGAUGAGGAGCUCGCGGACCAUGGUGGCCAGGUCCUGGAUGAUCUCCUGCCGGUGCUGCUGAACCCGCACGGUGGCACAGUAGCGGUUGGGGUGGGCGUCCAUGCUGCCCACGACCUGUCGGGACAGGUGCAGGGAGCGUUGGGGGGACUUCCCGGAAGCCCCCUACUCUCGGUGUGUGCUGGAGGAGGGACUGGGGAUGGACAGACUUGCCUAUGCCCUCAACUUGACAUCACAGUGAAGGGACAGUGGCUGGUCAGUUGUGAACCUGCUGCCUUUAUGUUUCUUUUUAGUAUGUGGGCAACAGUGUUCGUAAAUAGACUGCAAAGAAUAAAAACUUGCUUAAA